Long non-coding RNA from Cygnus olor (mute swan), 501 nucleotides. RefSeq lists it as uncharacterized. The transcript has 3 exons. NCBI's taxonomy places the organism in Eukaryota, Metazoa, Chordata, Aves, Anseriformes, Anatidae. The record is from RefSeq and is a predicted model, not a curated record.
GAGAAACCUAAAUAAGCUCCAGAAUACACGUGAGAAACUCUGCUGGGAGGAGGUUUGGAUGAAGGAGCUACUAAGAAGCAAGAGACAGCAUGACAAGAGACAGCGGAAAGGUCAAGGCAAAGAGAAAAGUUGUCUACAUGCAACAAUCUUUCCUUCUGGGACUCAUGAGCCAGUCUGAGGAGAGCAUAACCUGGAACAUCUCUAGUCCUCCUUACUGGCAUAAACAUACAAGUAAGGAUCUGACUCUGGAUGUACUACAGCCAAUUCUCAAAGACCUGUUUUGAAAGCUGUUUUCCAUUUAGUCUGUUUAGUAAUAAGAAUCAAAAAAUGGCUCCUGGUGGUCCUGACCCAUGUCAGCAGCAUCAGUUUGUGCCGUGGGCAUUUGCACAUACACCUUCCUGUCUCUUGGCCGCAGCACAUCACAUUAGUGUGACACAGUGAUGUGAGAUGCCUGCAGUAAAAGUGGGUGUGGAUUCCAGGACUGUCCUGAAUGACGUGGGA